AAAACGGACACGAUUCAACCCGGUGGUAUGGGUGGGGCGCAAAGGUAAAGCCGACCCAAAGCAUAAUCCCAUUCCGCACCGAUAAGCCGUAAGCUAACAUCAGUCAAAGGCGAAGUAUGUAGCAUGCUGGGCGACCCCGUAGCGCACACAGACACACACACAUACACCCGAACACACUUCAGCCGUUGAUGAUUGGUAUGGCCGACCCGGUAAGGAUGGGACCACUUCAAACCGUGCACCGUGAUCUCGAUGGAAAAUCCCUGCACAUGAAACGAAAUUUUAUCCCACCAUCCCGGUACAACCGAUGGAGCCACAUUCGCCCUCUCAAGAGGCACUCAUUUUGGUUGACUAAUUUCCGUAGAGGGGGUGGUACCGUUCGUGUGUGUGAGUGUGUUCUACCUGGCGAGAACCCUACACAAUACACACAUCACAUUACGUUCCACCGUUUGAACUUUAUUUUAUUACACUUCAUUGUUAUUGUUAUAGCGCUCGUUGUCGUUGUUAGAUACUUUACACACUCAUUCACAUUGCCGGUCAACUUGUUCACUCAUGGACACACACACGGACACCCACACAUGGUACUCGUGCAUGUAAAAAACGACCAUCAUCAAUUCAUAAAUACCACCUGUGCCACCUGGAUGAAGGGGCCACAAAAUGGCCGGGCCGUGGGGAGGGUGGAAACCCCAAGCGCCACUGAACCGAAAUAGUAGCGUGGCUGGGCAAAAGGGGGUUUUGUUUAUUUAUUUAUCACUGACAUUUUUGCUAUCGCUAUUCCUUUUACUUUAUGUUUGUCUAUAUCAGUGAUUUUUUUUUUCGUUCUUAUCGUUGCAGCUCUGUUAUUCUACCAAAUCCUAUGCUCAGCUGGAAUGUUUGCAGGAUCACUGAAUUAAAUCGGGCGCAACGUAUCACUGUGCACAAGCAGCGUCGAAUAAACAGGUGCGGUUCGGGGCGGGGAACGGAUUGCAUCGGAUGGUUUGUAGUAGCAGAGAAAAAAAUGUGAGCUAUAGAAUGAGGGAAAACUUCAUCCCAAGACAAAGUGUUGGCAACGAGAUGGAACAUGAUGCAUGCAAACGAUCACUGACACACUUGUUUACCGUUUGGAAAUUGGAACGGUUCUUUGGGCGAUGUUUGGGAUGAAUUCCUUCCGCCAGGGAAGGAGUAGAGCAGAUGAGUAAGUAGCUCUUGUUGCUUUUAAAAAUAAAUAAUCUAUUUUAUAAAGUGGGAGUUUUUCAUGUUCAAAUUCUAACAAAAAAGGUAC
Long non-coding RNA from Anopheles funestus (African malaria mosquito), 1258 nucleotides. RefSeq lists it as uncharacterized. The record is from RefSeq and is a predicted model, not a curated record. Lineage: Eukaryota; Metazoa; Arthropoda; Insecta; Diptera; Culicidae. The transcript is spliced from 3 exons.